CCUACGGGAGGCAGCAGUGGGGGAUAUUGGACAAUGGGCGGAACCCUGAUCCAGCGACGCCGCGUGAGUGAAGAAGUCUUUCGGUUUGUAAACCUCUUUUAGCAGGGACGAAAGAAAUGACGGUACCUGACCAAGAAGCCACGGCUAACUACGUGCCAGCAGCCGCGGUAAUACGUAGGGGGCAAGCGUUAUCCGGAAUUACUGGGUGUAAAGGGCGUGUAGACGGUUAUGGAAGUCUGGAGUGAAAGGCCGGGGCCCAACCCCGGAACUGCUCUGGAAACUGUAGAACUUGAGUGCAGGAGAGGUAAGCGGAAUUCCUAGUGUAGCGGUGAAAUGCGUAGAUAUUAGGAGGAACACCAGUGGCGAAGGCGGCUUACUGGACUGUAACUGACGUUGAGGCGCGAAAGCGUGGGGAGCAAACAGGAUUAGAUACCCGAGUAGUC
RNAcentral lists this ribosomal RNA (443 nucleotides) under uncultured bacterium. Its description in RNAcentral is "partial 16S ribosomal RNA". It matches the Rfam family "Bacterial small subunit ribosomal RNA", at positions 338 to 795 of the family's 1533-position model. The record is from RNAcentral.